This 182-nucleotide ribosomal RNA is filed under the name uncultured bacterium. RNAcentral's name for it is "partial 16S ribosomal RNA". It matches the Rfam family "Bacterial small subunit ribosomal RNA", at positions 1319 to 1500 of the family's 1533-position model. The record is from RNAcentral.
CAUGAAGCCGGAAUCGCUAGUAAUCGCGGAUCAGAAUGCCGCGGUGAAUACGUUCCCGGGUCUUGUACACACCGCCCGUCACACCAUGGGAGUUGGAAAUGCCCGAAGUCAGUGGCCCAACCGGAAGGGGGGAGCUGCCGAAGGCAGGUUCGAUGACUGGGGUGAAGUCGUAACAAGGUAAC